Molecule: long non-coding RNA, 170 nt
Organism: Amblyraja radiata (thorny skate)
Lineage: Eukaryota; Metazoa; Chordata; Chondrichthyes; Rajiformes; Rajidae
Exons: 3
Source: RefSeq, a predicted model, not a curated record
AUACAAACAUAGAAACAUAGAAAAUAGUGGAGUCAGGGAGGAUUAUUUCAUUGAAUCUUCUUUAACUCUUUGGUAUUUUAAAUACGUUAAUUUUAAGAUUAAAAUAAAAAUAAUAAAAGACGAAUAAAAACAUAUUAAUAAAAAUAAUAGGAUUUGUUCUACAAAAUUUG